This 382-nucleotide ribosomal RNA is filed under the name uncultured bacterium. RNAcentral describes it as "bacterial SSU rRNA". It matches the Rfam family "Bacterial small subunit ribosomal RNA", at positions 29 to 414 of the family's 1533-position model. The record is from RNAcentral.
AUUGAACGCUGGCGGCGUGCCUAACACAUGCAAGUCGAGCGGUAACGCGGGAGCAAUCCUGGCGACGAGCGGCGAACGGGUGAGUAAUGCUUCGGAAUCUGCCCAAUGGUGGGGAAUAACCAGCCGAAAGGUUGGCUAAUACCGCAUAAGUCCUAAGGGAGAAAGCGGGGGAUCGUAAGACCUCGCGCCGAUGGAUGAGCCGAAGUCGGAUUAGCUAGUUGGUAGGGUAACGGCCACCAAGGCGACAAUCCGUAGCUGGUCUGAGAGGACGACCAGCCACACUGGGACUGAGACACGGCCCAGACUCCUACGGGAGGCAGCAGUGGGGAAUAUUGGACAAUGGGGAAACCCUGAUCCAGCGACGCCGCGUGUGUGAAGAAGG